This is a small nuclear RNA of Manis pentadactyla (Chinese pangolin), 191 nucleotides long. RefSeq annotates it as U2 spliceosomal RNA. Lineage: Eukaryota; Metazoa; Chordata; Mammalia; Pholidota; Manidae. The record is from RefSeq and is a predicted model, not a curated record. The transcript has a single exon.
AAGGCUUCUCUGCCUUUUGGCUAAGAUCAAGUAUAGUAUCUGUUGUUAUCAAUUUACUAUGUGAUACGUCCUCUGUCCAAGGACAGUAUAUUCAAUGGGUUUUUAGAAUUAGGAGAUGGAAUGGGAGUUUGCUUCAUCCUUUCCACAUACCGACCUGGUGUUGUAGUACUUCCAGGAAUGGCACACCUUCU